This 664-nucleotide long non-coding RNA is filed under the name Gopherus agassizii (Agassiz's desert tortoise). RNAcentral describes it as "lncRNA (ENSGAGG00000012413.1)". Lineage: Eukaryota; Metazoa; Chordata; Testudines; Testudinidae. The record is from RNAcentral.
CUUCCAGUCAUCUGUCAACAAGUGAUUGAUUGAUGUGGACAUCUUCCAAUCUUAUUCUGAUUAUUCUCAGCAGCUUGCCUGGUGGCCAUUUUUCAGGAGCUGGCAGCGUUCAGACCUCCAGUGACUGUGUUGGGAUUAACUCUUUCCUUUGUUAUGGGGGACGGCAGCAGCACACGAGGAGAUGAUUGUGCUUAUGAGCCCUGAUUACAGAAGUGGAGUGAAUACACUGAGAGAGUCCCAGAGAUAAUACUAGGAACCCGAUGAUUGUGAUUCAUCCCAGCCUCAAGCAGUCGUGCUCCCAGACAACACCCCCAAGCAGCAGCACCCGAGCCUCGUUGCUGAACGUCUCGUCGACUCCAAGGAGCAUAGCACUGUUCAUGGCUGUGGGGCAACCCGCUCAGAGAUACUGUAUCGGGCCGGGUCAUUGGCAGCUGUUCUGACCUAUACAUAAGUGAGAGUGGGAUUCCCAGGCACUGGGUGGAUAUGUCAGGCUCCCAGCAAGAGGAGCAGUGGGCAGAGAUCUCAGCCAUUCUUUACUGAGCUGCAGAGGCACUGUGUGCAUGCUGGUGGGGAGGGAUGGGCCAUAUCUAUAUGGAUUUGUACGGUAUGAAUUGGGGAGCUGUAUCCAUUUAUGGGGCGUUAAUCUGACAUACAGAAUUGCCAG